CUGGCUUGAGGGCAGAGGUCAUGUGAAGAUUGAACGAAUAAAGGAAGCAGAACUAAGUGCAUAUCGCACACAGUUGAUGUGAGCCAAGUCCCGUAUGAGAGUAAAAACAGCUAGAGCCAAGGACACAUUGUCCUUGGCUCCAAGGUGUUAUCAAUGAUUAGUCCUGGGAACUUGCGGGUGAUGUAAUGCAGAAGUUGCUGGGUAAACCAAAUUGCUGUUACCAAUAAGGAGCUCAGCUUUUGCAAUAUGUAUGAGCCUGAUUAGUCCUGUGCUAUAUAAAGAAAGACCACACCUAAUAAAGUUGAAGUACACUGAUCACUCAUAUUGAGCGUCUGGGUCUUCCCUCCGUCGGCUCCUCCCGUGCAAGUUUCCAACAAAUGGCGCCCGAACAGGGACCCUGCCGGUCAGGGACUCGGUGAUUAAAAACUCAGGAGUCGACAGAGUGCUAGAGACAGCUGGUCCUGCUGUGCUAAAGGCGACGAGACACAAAAGGGGGUCUACGUGCCAGAGCUACAGAGGAGGUGGAGAGGACACAAACAAAGGGGGUCCGUGCCCAGGACGAGACGGGGUCCUGCCAGAAAGUCUCGCCGCAGGUCUUGCAAAGGUUGCAACGGACCGGUUUGGGUUCCCAGCAGAUUUACGAAACCUGUGAUAGACGAAGGAGCGACUGUGGACAAAGACUAUGCUCGGAAUCGGACAGACAACUCUGCGCAAAAUUGUCCUAUUGAUCAUGAUAAUUGCUGAAGGGUCUACAAUGUUGUCUCAGAUUGAUAUUCAACAGAAUAUGUGGGUUACAUGGGCUAACGAAACUAACCAGCGUACCUUUUGUUUGUCUCUAGCCUCAGGAAGUGAUCCCUUCCGGACGUGUCUGUUUGGGGUGCCUAUAGGAACUCCAAAGGAAUUGGUCAAGCUGUUAGGCCCGUACUCAACUUCGCUUACUCUCUUAAGUGGGUCCUUCUCGAGCAACCUCUCAGACGGAGUGGUUGCUGCACUGCAACAUCUUAAUAUAUCGUUGCCAUGGGAUCCACAAGAAUUAGAUUUGUUAGGGUCAGUAGCAGUAGGAAACACUAGUGAUAAUUGGACACAAACCUGUUUUAUACUAAAUAAAGGUAAACAAAAUAAGACUCA
Molecule: long non-coding RNA, 1128 nt
Organism: Dromaius novaehollandiae (emu)
Lineage: Eukaryota; Metazoa; Chordata; Aves; Casuariiformes; Dromaiidae
Exons: 2
Source: RefSeq, a predicted model, not a curated record